RNAcentral lists this ribosomal RNA (460 nucleotides) under uncultured bacterium. Its description in RNAcentral is "partial 16S ribosomal RNA". It matches the Rfam family "Bacterial small subunit ribosomal RNA", at positions 338 to 795 of the family's 1533-position model. The record is from RNAcentral.
CCUACGGGAGGCUGCAGUGAGGAAUAUUGGUCAAUGGACGAGAGUCUGAACCAGCCAAGUAGCGUGAAGGAUGACUGCCCUAUGGGUUGUAAACUUCUUUUAUAAAGGAAUAAAACGAGGCACGUGUGCCUUUUUGCAUGUACUUUAUGAAUAAGGAUCGGCUAACUCCGUGCCAGCAGCCGCGGUAAUACGGAGGAUCCGAGCGUUAUCCGGAUUUAUUGGGUUUAAAGGGAGCGUAGAUGGGUUGUUAAGUCAGUUGUGAAAGUUUGCGGCUCAACCGUAAAAUUGCAAUUGAUACUGGCAGUCUUGAGUACAGUUGAGGUAGGCGGAAUUCGUGGUGUAGCGGUGGAAUGCUUAGAUAUCACGAAGAACCCCGAUUGCGAAGGCAGCUUACUAAACUGUGACUGACAUUGAUGCUCGAAAGUGUGGGUAUCAAACAGGAUUAGAUACCCUAGUAGUC